Molecule: non-coding RNA, 302 nt
Organism: Paramuricea clavata
Lineage: Eukaryota; Metazoa; Cnidaria; Anthozoa; Malacalcyonacea; Plexauridae
Source: the annotation of a GenBank genome assembly
ACCUGCAACUUCGUAGCUAACUUGUUGGCCUUCGCUUGUAUCGACAACGCAUUGAAAUACUGUUUGUUGUGGAGCUUCCUCGCCCUGCUCGGUCGGUCGAACGACGUGUUCGCUUGUGUUAACAACACACUCGAAUGCGGCUUGCCCACCAGCUUGUUCCAAAGCUUGUUGCUGAUUUUGUACUACACAAUUCAAAGCUUCGAUGAUAAUAUUGUACUCGACCGGUAUUUCUUCCAUGAUAUCCAAAAAAAUUUCCUUCAAAGAAGCGAAUUUUAUAAAGCACGCUCCUGAAAAUGGAAAUC